UAUUUGCUUCUAAACACUCUCUGUGAGUUUUAAUCAUAUAUUCUGCUAGUCCUGGUUCAUCAUCAGGAGAGGAUCGACUGGGAGUCAGAUCCGCUAGUGUGAUUAAUCAUCUGACCUCUCAAGAAGGCUUCAAAGGCUUCCCAUCGCACAGCAGCAGAUGUUUGAUGAGUAUUCAUUUCAAAAUCCCAUUUUCUUCUGAUGGCACAGCAAGACGCCAGCACUCUGGGCGAAGGCCAAUUUGGGAAGGUCUACAAGAAGUUGUAUAAGGGCCAAUGGGCUUGUAUUAAGAGGGUUCCAGAGGACCGCAUCAGCGAGAGAGACCUAAGGAGAGAGUACAAAGUGUAUUGUAACGUACACCAUACAAAUGUGGUGAGGCUUCUGGGUGUCCCCUGGAGUCAGGAUUUGAAAUGGAACAUUCCUCUGGAGUUCAUCUCAGGGGAAGAGCUGGAGACAACAAUCUUCCGCCCUGAUAAGUCUAAAAUACUGUUGACCCCUACUGUCUCAGGAACCAUUAUCAAGGGCAUGUGUGCAGGGCUGAGUCAUCUUCACAGUAAAGACAUUGUGCACCAGGACAUUAAACCUGACAAUAUCAUGGUGGAACAUGGAACAAACCGCGCCGUCAUCAUAGAUCUAGGACUGGCUAAAUUCUUCAAGGGUGGAAUAACGUCGGCCCAGAACUUAGGCAAUUUUGCUUACUCCGCUCCUGAAAUCCUGCUGCAGAACGGUGUGCGGGACAAGCGCUCAGACGUCUGGGCAAUGGGCAAGGUCAUCGCUGAGCUGCUCAUCAGGCCCAGGGACAGGCUACCUACUCUCAACGUCACAUUCAGGAAAAUCUGGCCAAUCCUACCUGAGCCUUACAGGGGAACAGUGUCCAAAAUGGUGUACAGCAAUCCUGCUGCUAGAACCCGCAUGCCGAUAGUGGAGGCUGAGAUUAUACAGGCUUUAGCUGGUGUCAUGAAGCUACCUAUGAAGCUGCCUAGACGGGAAGUGAAAGCAGAAAGGCCACAACAGGUUCAACGAAUGCCACUGGCGGCAGAAUAUCCACAACGGGGUCUGGGACAGUCACAACGGGUUCUGGGACAGUCACUAUGGGGUCUGGGACAGUCACGAUUGGAUCUUGGACAGUCACUAUGGGGUCUGGGACAGUCACGAUUGGAUCUUGGACAGUCAAUAUGGGGUCUGGGACAGUCACGAUUGGAUCUUGGACAUCAGCCACUAUGGAGUCUGGAACAUUUGCUUCUGACACAGUCACAAAUGGAUCUUGGAGACCCAAAACUUGCUCUGGAACAGUUCCUAUGGGGUCAAAGACAGCCACAACAGGUUCGGGGACAGUCACUAUGGGAUCUGAGACAGCCACAAUGGUUCUAGGACAACGCCACCAUCUGGCCAAGCAGUAUAUCCCUUUGCAGACUGCACCGAACAUUCCAUUGUUUCAUACUCAAUGGCCUCAUGGCACAAAAAGGUGUAUUGUGUGAUUAUGCUACAUGGCAGAGAUAUAAUAUACCCACCACUGUAAUCAGGAGAAACAGGGCUUUCAAAUGGUAUAAAAUAUAGCUAAUAACUUUUAAGAGAACAUACAUGUUUUUUAAAUAUAUCUUUAAAAUUCAACCCCAAAAAACACGAAAAUAGCAAUUAGUCAAGAUUAAUCUCAUUUUCCCCAAUUUGUGUUGUAGGUAGAGAGAGAAAAACCUAGAGUAUAUUAGAGAUUCACAAUUUUGUCCUCUAUUCACUGAAAAAAACAGAACCAAUCUGUCACCUUUUGUUCAAAUGUUAUGAUACAUUUAUUGGACCUUUGCAGAUGGCACAACACAUUCCGUUUUUUUCAUACUGAUGCCCCCGUGACACAAAAAGGCUUGUUGUGUGGAUAUGCUAGAUGCUAGAGAUAUAAUAUACCCAUCAUUGUGAUCAGAAGAACUAGCCCUUUAAAAUGGUAUACAUCAUGGUUAAUAAGUUUAAGUGUAACAUACAUUGUUUUUAAACAAGACCUUCAAAAUUCAACCUUAAAAAACACAAAAACAUAUAUUUGUCAAGAUAAAUCUUAUGUUUUACCUAAUAGCUAUCGCAGAUAUAGUGUGUGAGAUAUAGACAAUGGUGUGCUCUCUUCAGUGAAAGAAACAGAAUCAAUUAAUUACCUUUGGUUCAAAAGUUAUGAUCAAUUUACUCAUAACUGCAAGUUGAAGUGACGAGUAGAAUUUUUAAAAAGUAGAAUGCUUUCAUUCCCUGAUUUCAACUCCAAAAUACACAGAUAUAUUGGUAAUGUAGUAAAAUAAGUGUAUUUAACCAUCUCAGUUGUAUAGCUAAAUGUGGCAUGUUUUACCUUGCCUUAAGAGCCAAUAACCUUUGUGAGUGAGGAAAGACUAAAGGUGAAGUAAAGACUAGCUGAUGGAGAAUGCCUCUCUCUGUGUAUCAUUCUGUUACGAAAACAAGAAUAGAGAAAAGACACUGACACAAGUUUUCUAAUGGAAAAAAUGUUUUUCAUUUUAUUUUAAAAUUGAUCAAUUAUAUGAAAUCUUUAGGAACCCAGGUAUAACACUAAAACAAACAAGCAGUAACUACUAGAACUAGAGUAAGAAGACAACACUGUAACAAGCGUCUGCGCUUUCUACUUGACAUGGGCCUGUCAGGGAAUGGCUAACCAAACCCAAAAUAGAUUGUCAUAAGAAUGCUAAUUAGUAGAAAUGUAAAUGUAAAUGUAAUGAAACUGUUACCACUAUUCCUGACAUUAUUAUAACAAGUAAUGCCCUUGUAACGAUAAAAAAUGUGCACAUGCGCAGUUGCGCACGCACGUGUGCACACUCAAACACAAACAUUGUUACUCAGCUGAGGAUGAUGGGAGAUCACUCCCCUCCAACUCCUCUUCUUCCACAUCCUCUUCACCCAGUAGCUGGCUAUCCAGGUACUCCUCCCAUGUCCAUCCCUGCAUGAUCCUGUAGUUUAUGCUCACCGAUGACCUGGAGCUCCUCAACGGUCAGUUGUCUCCUUUCCCUGAGAGACUCCAUCAACCGUGCAUACUGGCUCUUCUCCCCCUCCAUCUAAAAUAAUGAGGAGAAAAAAAGAUAAGCCUGUAAAUAACUUACUUGGUUGUUACAAUACAAUCUGAGUCACCUCUAACUAUGUCCUUUUUCACUAAAGACACGGUCACUGGAAGGCUGACUGAUGAUUUGGAGAAAUAACACACACACAAACAUAGUUACCCAGCUGAGGAUGAUGGGAGAUCACUCUCCUCCUCUUCCACAUCCUCUUCACUCAGUAGCUGGCUAUCUAGGUACUCCUCCUCUGCAGUGUCCAUCCCUUCAUGAUCCUGUAGUUGAUGCUCACCGAUGACCUGGAGCUCCUCAGCAGUCAGUAGUCUCCUUUCCUUGAGAGACUCCAUCAACCGUGCAUACUGGCUCUUCUCCCCCUCCAUCUAAAAUAAUGAGGAGAGAAAAAAAGAUAAGCCUAUAAAUAACUUACUUGGUUGUUACAAUACAAUCUGAGUCACCUCUAACUAUGUCCUUUUUCACUAAAGACACGGUCACUGGAAGGCUGACUGAUGAUUUGGAGAAAUAACAUUAGCCUGUGAACUCACUUGAAGCAAGUUAGUAUUAAAUCCUUGACUAAACAUUAUAGACCAGCUUGCAAACCAAUAUUGAUAUAAGACAACUUGAGCAAGAAAAUAAGACAGAAACUAUCUAGAGAGCGCAUGUACAGUAUAUAUGCACACACACACGUGCUAUUUCCUGGCAGCGUAAAGACGAAAUAUUGCGUCUCGACGUGGAGUAGAGAAAAUACCCACUUGAGUUCACAACAUGUUAACGUUAGUUGGCGAGUAUCGCCAUAACCUUGAUCAAGAAAAUUAUAGUCUACGACCUAAGCAAUAGUUAUGACACUAUACUACACGUCUUCAGUUAUGCACUCAUACAAAAGUAGCCGACGAUAAACGAAAACCUUGCGUUAGACCAGAGAAUGGGUAUUUCUCAAAGUCAAGAGCUCGUCCUUGAUAGAAUGCUUUCUUUCAAGUCGAGUGCUAGAGAGACAAGGCUACACACCUUCCCAGUACCCCCUCCAGCCGUCAAGAUCACAUGCAAUGGAACAGCCUAGCGAGUGUGGAAGUGCACGUCAAUUGUGCACGGUUCCGGCUGCGCGCUUAAUUAGAACCGUGGAAAUUGUGCUGCUUUUACAGGAGUUCCGACAACUGCAGCUGCACUUUUCUCUAAAUAAACUUUUUGGUGUAGCCUACAGUAUUUCCACUUUCGACUUGGUCUUCACAUAAUCACAAUCCGUAGUUCAUAAUUAUGUUAGUGGCAAUGGAAAGUUAUACCGGUAAUUGGCAACAGCAACGGUAAUGUUAAACUUCUACAAAGUUCGUAUUGGGCGAAAUUCUGAGAUAAAUUAAUAACAAGUCUAUCACAACUUGUUCAUGCACAUUGACAUAUGCAUUUAUGAUGAAUAUGCACAAUAACUUGAUAAAUGCCUGAGCAAAUAUACAAUGGCAUUAACAAAACACUUGAUAAAUCAUAUUUAGCCUACAUUAACACGCACUGCUUCUUUGCAUCUACUUUCCAUCUCCCUCUCUCUCUUUUUUUUUAAACCGCACCGUCAGAAAAUUUCUAAUUGUUCAUACGCAAAGGAUUGUGGGUUAUUUCUUCACUCCGAGGAUCCAUCGAUGCAUCCUCCAAAAUUCUCCGAAAUUCUCAGAACGAAGGACUCAGUACUCGCUAGAAUUUGAAAGCAUCCUUGACUUUGGAACAGUGCUUGACGAGAUUUGAUGACGUAACGUCCUUGAAAAAGUGGCUUGGAAGGAGCAAUCCUUGACUUUGAGAAGCACCCCACGUCUAAUAAGGGGAGAACUGCCACUGGCCGGGUUUCCCAAAAUUGUUAAGAAGCUCUUAAGUGCUAAGAACUUCUUAGGAGCGUUGUAAGAAUGUUCUAAGAACGCUCCUAAGAAGUUCUUAGGACUUAAGAGCUUCUUAACGAUUUUGGGAAACCCGGCCCUUGUCGUUAUACUUCCGGUUUUAAAAUGGUUGCAGUUCCACGCUGGUUCCAUUAGAGGCGCUCACAUUUGGAGUGCAGAAUGCAUGGAGGUCUAUGAAGCAAUACCCCUCAAAAUCCACUUUUCUCAAAAUAUAAUUUUUUGUCAAUUAAUUUGAAUGUUGUUUUCGAAAGGGGAUGCAAAGAAAUGACAUAUUGCGAGGUGUUUGAAUUUUUAGAGUCACUUAUUUGCUUUAAAACGUCUUUUAAAAUGUAAAUGACGUCAUACACUCAAGCUUCAUUAGCAGAAUGCUAGCGUGGUAUGGGCAACAACAACUCAACCUGUAAGAAAUCGGAAGGACAUAAGUACUCGUUCAUUCAACUUUUGACCUGAAACCCAUGUUGAACUUGCAAAAACUACAUUCAAAUCUGAGAUUUCUCAACGACAAUUGGGUGAAAGAGACAAAUUUAGCCAUCUAGCUCCAUAGGCUCCCAUUCAUUCUGCACUCAGGCGAUCGCCCCCAGUGGAAUUCUGGUGGAACUGCAACCAAAAGUCGUUACAAUAGGACUUAAUAGCGAGUGGCAAGGCUCUCCGUAGACGGGCUCUGGUUAGACCCUUGGCACAACCACAACGUUUGGAUACGUUAGCACCUUUCAUGUUUGACAGAUCAUAUCUAGCAAGCUAGCCAACUUGGCUGCAUAUAACUGUAAAAUGUGGUACAUAUUUCUACGAAAUAGCUGGUUUAUUUAAGAAUAAAAUAGCCUACCAAUAGAUGUCCUUCACAUGAGGUGAUAUAGAUAGAUAGAUUUGAGCGAAACGAGAGGGCGCGUCGCGGGUAGAGAUGCGCGGAUGGCGGUUACAGCCGCGGACUCCGCGGUUAAACCGCCGAUCGGGCGGAUGACCUUACAAAAAAUAAUAUUUUAAUUAGAUUCGGGCGGGUGGCGGUUGAACCGAUCAAAUGAAAAAAAUAUAUAUAAGCUACAUUGUUAAAUACUGUUACUUACAUCCAAUAAAAAACAUGCACACUUUUCUCAUCAGGCAGUAAUUUGGUCUAGUUGUGUCUAUGCAGUGCAUGCUGCUUUGUUUACUAUCAGAGAUGGCAACGCCGCCAGUGAAUGUGCGUGACAAACUCAAAGGUAACAACAAGUUUAAAUUAAGUUGCCUAUGUAGCCUAUGUUUUCGUCUGCCGUGUGCAAUAAGAAAGUAGAAGUUUAUAACUUGUAUGUAAGGCCUGCUGAUAUGGAUUGCACUGUCUGCCUGGAAAAGACGUGCACUCGUGCAAUCAAAAUUAACGGGAGUCUUCAGAACAGGCUCGUCCUAGUCGUCACCCUGACAAGCUGCAUAGAGUUAAAGGUAUACUAUGCAGGAUUGGCGAUUUCAUCGCCGGUUUCGCUUUCAUUUUCGUUUCGCUUUUCAUUUUCGCUCGUUUUAUGCUUGCAUAUUUCUCUGCAGAGCUUCCCCUACAGCUUUAGCGUGUAUAUUUGACAAAACUCCUCAAUCGGUCAGUCUGCCGUGCCUUUUCAUGAGACUUUACAUGACACUUCCUGGAGUAGAGCAUGGGUGCGUGCCCAGUGUCUCCUGAAGUUCAAGUGCAAGUGUGAUUUUACCGCUACAGACCACUAGAGCGGCCAAAAAAACCACUGUUCGAACGGUAAUGACUCAUUUAAUCAUAUAUAACAGUAUGGAAGGAAUUGAUUAACUGAAAAACGUUGCAUAGUAUACCUUUAAUUGGCCUGUAAUGCGAAUGGCUUGUUGUUAUUCUAUUCGGACUUUCUUUCUUUUUUGUAUAAAGAAUAAAGUGUAAUUGCCAUUAAUUAGACUAAAUAGCUGCAUCUUUCUAGAACAAGAGCUUUCUCGCGUCGCAUCAGCGUCUUGGAUCACCCAUAGACCUUUAAACAGAGAUCUUUGCUUUAAACAAAUAGCGGAUGGCGGGCGGGUGCGGUUCUGAAAAAAACAUAAAAAACGUAGGUGCGGACGGAUGAUGAGUUGUAUGAUGCGGUUGCGGAUAGAGUAAUAGUCCAUCCGCGCAUCUCUAGUCGCGGGCAUGUCGAACCAAAAAUAUUUCUGGAGCUGGAAAUGUACAGCUACUGUAGCGUGCUAACGGUAAUGAUUGCUGUUGUAUUACUGACAGGCUAUUUCGUUCAAACUUGAAUACAUCUCUAAAGUAACAGUCUUAGUUGUUAGCUUUCCAUGUUACCCCCCAAGAAAUCAUUGAAAAUAGUAACAGUUUACUAAAGACAACAGUUUGCUAAAACACCAGCAACCAGCUGAUGUGAACACAGACGCAAAUGGUCAUAUACACACGGUGCAAUUGCUAGUAAAAUGGCUAAAUAAAAACAACGAAAUAACUGGUUUAUUUGGGAAUAAAACAGCCUACCAAUCAGGUGUCCUUCACAUUAGAUGAUAUAGAUAGAGAAUUCUUGCUUUCUCUUCAAGCAGUGAAACAGUUUCGCGCCACAAAUCCCUUAACCAAUCAUAUCACUGUAAAGCCUAUUGGUGCAUUCCAGACAGCAUUUAAACUAGUGGGAUGUGGGAUUUAUCCUACCUCCAACUACGAAAGAUGCACUGGAACGCCUGUCGAAGUGGGAGCUCCUACUCGCGAACUCGUAGGAGCUCAACCUGUCCCGACCUCAACAAAAUGAAGUGGGAGGAUUAUACGUUAGACCGGCACAUCCGGGAAACUUGACUCGCGAGAAACGUUCCAGCCCCUUCCGGGGGGAAAACAAACAACGUCUCUCAUUGACUCCAAUGCAAAUUAGGGUCAAUAAACGUAAUUCGUACCGAAAUCGUAGGGGUUAACAAUAACAGAAAACACGACGAAUCAAUAGGACCACUCAAUAUAUUACCACUUUGCCGGUCGUUGACCGUGAAAGAUACGUCAAAAGCUUAAUUCAAUCAAAGUAAAAAACUUUCCCCUCUGCCUCCCGAGUAGCCUAGGCUACUAGCAGUAGCAACAACCCCACUCAGUGGCCAGUGUCAUACCCGGACAUACUCGUAUCUCAUUUAGUCUCCAGUUAAAUAACUAAAUUGUUUUCCUGUAUUUUUGGCCUCUUAUUUUAAUUUUAAUGUAGUGUAGGCUAGUUGACUCACAGGCUCGGAUGUAAAGUAUGUUCGUUAGAUAAUUCCAAGAUAUGAUCAUUUCUGUCAUAGCCGAUAGCCUAGUGUUAGCCUAGAUUUCCGUUUUCGUUGGUCUGAUUAAUUUUUGGUGUAGCCUAAUGUUAGGGGUUCUUAGCUUUGUGGUUGGUACCGCCCAAAUUAAUCGGCAGAGGGGGCCUACCUUUAUUUUGUUUUUUCUCUUUUCUUUUUCUUUUUAUGUGAUGAUUUUGUGACCUUGGGUGUCAUGAAAGGCACUUUAAAUAAAAUGUAUUAUUAUUGUUAUUAUUAUUACCUCUUUCUCUCUUCUACCCCCUCUCUCCCUCUCUGGUUCAUGUGAUUUUCUUCAUACUUUGUUUUAUCUGGUGUAUUUGAUUUUCUAACUUGUUUAACUUGUUACGUUUAAGUUCAAGUUUGUUGUUUGUUUGAGAUUAAGUUGACUUUGUUCAUUUGAUCCUUUGCUAUGUUAUAUUUACCUAUCUGGACUUUAUUUUAAAUUCAAUUGAAGUGGUAUUACCUUACACUUACCGUCAAGGCUUAAUGCCUAAUAAAUUCAUUUACCCACCAGUUGCAUAUCUCUAAGUCUUGUGUAUCAUGCCAUGCAUAGUCAUAGCUGACAAACUAGUUAUUUGGUCAUUUAUUAGAGAUACAAGUUAUUAAUCUUAUGGAGUCAGAUAAUCAUGUUUUUUCUCAUAACAUUACCAUAGAUAUGUAAUGGGUAGGACGGAGACGAUUAGAAUUGCACCUUGAUUGGAUCAGGUGGGUGCCACUUGGCGCUGCCCAGUUAAAUAUAGCCGUGUCUUCCGGUGUCUUGAUUAGUGCCUUUCGUUACUUGGCUGUAGCCUACACAGGAGCUCUUUUGUUGUGCGAGUGAACCCUGGCUUGGUGCCUGUGAUCCUUCACUGGAGUGUGUGUUUGUGUCCAAACUUCGCCUGACAAACUUUUUGGCUGUGGGCCCGUGUGUUUCAACAAAAACGUAAGUUCCCUGCUUUUACGUAUGUGCAACCUGUCCGCACUUUAGCCAUAGGCAGUUGCCCUUAUGAGUCACGUUUAUUUGCAUUUUGUUCACAGUGGCCACCUAUAUAGAGUGAGAGGUCGUUACGAGUCAAGAGGUCGUUACGAGUCAAUUGCGUGUUUGUUGUGCAGUGGAUGUAAGUUCAUGGAUUCCUUUCUCCCUCACGUUUGGUUGUUUGUUUAUUGCGGAGUGCUUACGAUUGGAUACUGUUUUGUAUUGUAGUUUUGCCUGUGAACGUAUUGUAAAAGCGGGUCCACGACGUGACCGAAAACCACAAUAGUUUUCCGGCUCAGCACGGCGGCCUGCGUUUCUCCAGGAAUUGGAGGAACAGGUCGGGCAGCUAACGGAGCAGCUUAGGCAGUUGCAAGCUGACAAUGAAAGGCUACGACAGGGAAAUUUAGCACCUACUCGGGAGGUAGAACAGGGAUUAAGUUUUGCCUGUGAACGUAUUGUAAAAGCGGGUCCACGACGUGACCGAAAACCACAAUAGUUUUCCGGCUCAGCACGGCGGCCUGCGUUUCUCCAGGAAUUGGAGGAACAGGUCGGGCAGCUAACGGAGCAGCUUAGGCAGUUGCAAGCUGACAAUGAAAGGCUACGACAGGGAAAUUUAGCACCUACUCGGGAGGUAGAACAGGGAUUAAGUUUUGCCUGUGAACGUAUUGUAAAAGCGGGUCCACGACGUGACCGAAAACCACAAUAGUUUUCCGGCUCAGCACGGCGGCCUGCGUUUCUCCAGGUUGGUAACGUAUGCUACUUUAGCUUCUCGCCCUGUUCAUUGAUCAUAGCCAAUAGUAGACCAUUGCAGCUGGGAGUAAUUUAAUCAGUUCGCUGGCAAACAGCUUUAGUCUGCUAUGUCUGUAUUUUUAUGACAUUAUGGCCAUGUUUUUCUUGCAGGAGAACCAUCAUCCGCUGCCUUAGCCACUGUUUUUCCUGUGCUUUGAUUUUAGUAGCUUUCGUGUGAGCGUGUGGCUUAGCCACCUUGUUGCCUAGAGGGGCUGUCCUUACUGUUCAAUGUUUGUAUGUCUAUUGUAUGUGCUAUUUAUUUAGGCCAUUGGGUCAGUGCAAUAUUCUGGGAGGGGGGGACAAUAAUCUUGUGUGGCCAUUGGCUUGCUGAGAGUGAUUUCCACCGAUUUGUGUGUGGCUGAUGUGCUGUUUAUCGAGUGUUUGCUUACUGAGUCAUUUCUGAAGUUUACCGUGUGCUAUUCAUCCAAACACCUUUUGCUGUGAUCUUUAUUGCCCUCCACCGUGAAUUUGUUGCCCUGAAGGCCUACUGUCUGUCGUAUUGUGUAUGUUGUUUAAAAUACAAUAAACAUUGUCUUUAUUUUUGAUAAUA
Molecule: RNA transcript, 10392 nt
Organism: Sardina pilchardus (European sardine)
Lineage: Eukaryota; Metazoa; Chordata; Actinopteri; Clupeiformes; Clupeidae
Gene name: serine/threonine-protein kinase Nek6-like
Exons: 10
Source: RefSeq, a predicted model, not a curated record